This 458-nucleotide ribosomal RNA is filed under the name uncultured bacterium. RNAcentral describes it as "partial 16S ribosomal RNA". It matches the Rfam family "Bacterial small subunit ribosomal RNA", at positions 338 to 795 of the family's 1533-position model. The record is from RNAcentral.
CCUACGGGAGGCAGCAGUGGGGAAUAUUGCACAAUGGGGGAAACCCUGAUGCAGCGACGCCGCGUGAGUGAAGAAGUAAUUCGUUACGUAAAGCUCUAUCAGCAGGGAAGAAAUACUUACCUUACGGUCAGCAGACGGUACCUGAGUAAUAAGCCCCGGCUAACUACGUGCCAGCAGCCGCGGUAAUACGUAGGGGGCAAGCUUUAUCCGGAUUUACUGGGUGGAAAGGGAGCGUAGACGGUGCGCCAAUUCUGGAGUGAAAUGCCGCAGCUUAACUGCGGAACUGCUUUGGAAACUGGCGAACUAGAGUGCGGGAGGGGUAAGCGGAAUUCCUAGUGUAGCGGUGAAAUGCGUAGAUAUUAGGAGGAACACCGGUGGCGAAGGCGGCUUACUGGACCGUAACUGACGUUGAGGCUCGAAAGCGUGGGGAGCAAACAGGAUUAGAUACCCCAGUAGUC